Molecule: non-coding RNA, 145 nt
Organism: Gossypium hirsutum (cotton)
Lineage: Eukaryota; Viridiplantae; Streptophyta; Magnoliopsida; Malvales; Malvaceae
Source: Rfam
UUGUUAAAAUUUUACUCAUUUCUACAGUUAAAAAUUAGCGUGAUAGACUGAAUAACCUGAUAGUUACACGUGGCAUGUCAUGUGUAUCUCAUACUAAUGUAUAAAAACUAGUUUUUAACAAUGAAAAUAAAUAGAAUUUUAAAAA